UUUUUUUUUUUUUUUCCCAGCUCCCAUCCUGCCCACUUCAGGAAUAGUGCAUCUCACAAAAGUCAGGCAUUUUUAGUGAAGGGUGCUCAUCUGUAAAAUAAACAGGGGCCAGAAUUCAGCAUUAAAACAAAACCUCCACCCCUUUAGUACCACUGAUAACUGGACUUUCCACAAGCACAAAGUUUAUGAAACUGGGGCUCAGGCAAACCACCACCCAGGCAGCAGGGAAGAAAAACACUGACUGUGAAAGGAACCUGCUAACCAUAGGAUGCAAGAUUUGUUCUUCUCGGCUUUCCUGUGGCUAAGAACAUGACUAAUCCCCUGUGACAGCCCCAUGCUUGGAGCCUGCUGCUCUUACUGAUGCAGCUGGAGACUCUGUUGCUUUUCACCAUCACAAUUUGAAAACUCUUUUGCAAUGAAAUUGUUUCUGCAGUGAAAUGGAGGAUCACUAAAGCACUUGCCACAACCACUGGGAAUAAAUUUACUUUUAUUUUA
This is a long non-coding RNA of Pezoporus flaviventris, 495 nucleotides long. RefSeq lists it as uncharacterized. The transcript is spliced from 2 exons. The record is from RefSeq and is a predicted model, not a curated record. NCBI's taxonomy places the organism in Eukaryota, Metazoa, Chordata, Aves, Psittaciformes, Psittacidae.